CCUAUACUGUGAGAAUCAGUAUCAACUUUGUGGGGCUUAUAUCUUAUUGUGUCCUUUACAGGAUAGAAAUAGAUUUAUUGGGGAUACAGAGCGUUGGCAUAGCCACUCUAAACCAAUCACAAUAAGUAUUAGUGCAGAGAAAUCAAAG
Molecule: non-coding RNA, 148 nt
Filed under: unclassified sequences
Source: RNAcentral